GAUGAAGAACGCAGCGAAAUGCGAUAAGUAGUGUGAAUUGCAGAAUUCAGUGAAUCAUCGAAUCUUUGAACGCACAUUGCGCCCCUUGGUAUUCCAUGGGGCAUGCCUGUUCGAGCGUCAUUUGUACCUUCAAGCUUUGCUUGGUGUUGGGUGUUUGUCUCGCCUUUGCGUGUAGACUCGCCUUAAAAUAAUUGGCAGCCGGCGUAUUGAUUUCGGAGCGCAGUACAUCUCGCGCUUUGCACUCAUAACGACAGCGCCCAAAAGUACAUUUUACACUCUUGACCUCGGAUCAGGUAGGGAUACCCGCUGAACUUAAGCAUAUCAAUAAGCGGAGGA
This 336-nucleotide unclassified non-coding RNA is filed under the name soil metagenome. RNAcentral's name for it is "partial contains 5.8S ribosomal RNA, internal transcribed spacer 2, and large subunit ribosomal RNA". The stretch from base 1 to 120 matches the Rfam family "5.8S ribosomal RNA", at positions 35 to 154 of the family's 154-position model. The record is from RNAcentral.